UACGAAGGGGGCUAGCGUUGCUCGGAAUUACUGGGCGUAAAGCGCACGUAGGCGGAUUGUUAAGUCGGGGGUGAAAUCCUGGAGCUCAACUCCAGAACUGCCUUCGAUACUGGCGAUCUCGAGUUCGGGAGAGGUGAGUGGAACUGCGAGUGUAGAGGUGAAAUUCGUAGAUAUCAGGAGGAACACCGAUGGCGAAGGCAGGUCUCUGGGCCACUACUGACGCUGAGAAGCGAAAGCAUGGGGAGCGAACAGG
Molecule: ribosomal RNA, 253 nt
Filed under: uncultured bacterium
Lineage: Bacteria
Description: partial 16S ribosomal RNA
Rfam family: Bacterial small subunit ribosomal RNA
Source: RNAcentral